UUACAUUGUCAUAUAUAACCUCAGACAUAAGUUAAUUAUAAAUCUCAGUUGGAAGUGGAGAGAGCUGUGAGCUUUCCCCCUGGAGACCGGGGUUCAAGUCCGAUGUCUUCUGUUGGAAUACUCUUAUCUCUAUUUCAUGCGAAUUAUAAAGUCAAGUAUAACCUUUGUGAUGACUUUAUCCGGUGUCUUGAUGGUGCAAUGAUAAGUUCGGAGGUUAACACUCUAAACAGCUCAGGUUCGGAUCCCCGCAAAAACGUUGACAGGGGUACCACUAUCGUUAUGUAUUGGUCAACAUGGAAAAAACAUGAGGGGUUACACUGUCGAUAUUUAUCAAAAAAAACAUAAGGGGUAACAAUGUCGUUUUUAUCAAAUGAAACAUAAGGGGUAACACUGUUGUUUUUUUAUUGAUCGUUAUGAAAAAAAACAUAAGGGGUAACACUGUUGUUUUUUAUUGGUCGUGAUGAAAAAAAACAUAAGGGGUAACACUGUUGUCUUUGUCAAAUAAAAUAUAAGGGGUAACACUGUCGUAUUUUAUUGGUCGUAAUGAAAAAAAACAUAUUAAAAAAAAGAAGAAAAUUGUCCUUCUCAAAUAAAAUAUAAGGGGUAUCACUGUUGUUUUUCAUCAGUCAUCAUGGGAAAAAAACAUAAGGGGUAAAACUGUCGAUAUUUAUCAAAUAAAACAUUGGUGGUAACACUGUUGUUUUUCUUUGGUCGUCAAGAAAAAAAACAUAAGGGGUAACACUGUUGUUUUUCUUUGGUCGUCAAGAAAAAAAACAUGAGGGGUAACACUGUUGUUUUUUAUUGGUCGUCAUGAAAAAAAACAGAAGGGUUAACACUGUUGUAUUUUAUUGGUCGUUAUGAAAAAAAAACACAAGGGGUAACACUGUCGUUUUUUAUUGGUCGUCAUGAAAAAAAACAUAAGGGGUAACACUGUUGUUUUUUAUUGGUCGUCAUGAAAAAAAACAUAAGGGGUAACACUGUUGUUUUUUAUUGA
Molecule: long non-coding RNA, 994 nt
Organism: Gadus macrocephalus (Pacific cod)
Lineage: Eukaryota; Metazoa; Chordata; Actinopteri; Gadiformes; Gadidae
Exons: 2
Source: RefSeq, a predicted model, not a curated record